Molecule: ribosomal RNA, 549 nt
Filed under: Clostridioides difficile
Lineage: Bacteria; Bacillati; Bacillota; Clostridia; Peptostreptococcales; Peptostreptococcaceae
Description: bacterial SSU rRNA
Rfam family: Bacterial small subunit ribosomal RNA
Source: RNAcentral
UUUUUUUUGAGAGUUUGAUCCUGGCUCAGGAUGAACGCUGGCGGCGUGCCUAACACAUGCAAGUUGAGCGAUUUACUUCGGUAAAGAGCGGCGGACGGGUGAGUAACGCGUGGGUAACCUACCCUGUACACACGGAUAACAUACCGAAAGGUAUGCUAAUACGGGAUAAUAUAUUUGAGAGGCAUCUCUUAAAUAUCAAAGGUGAGCCAGUACAGGAUGGACCCGCGUCUGAUUAGUUAGUUGGUAAGGUAACGGCUUACCAAGGCGACGAUCAGUAGCCGACCUGAGAGGGUGAUCGGCCACAUUGGAACUGAGACACGGUCCAAACUCCUACGGGAGGCAGCAGUGGGGAAUAUUGCACAAUGGGCGAAAGCCUGAUGCAGCAACGCCGCGUGAGUGAUGAAGGCCUUCGGGUCGUAAAGCUCUGUCCUCAAGGAAGAUAAUGACGGUACUUGAGGAGGAAGCCCCGGCUAACUACGUGCCAGCAGCCGCGGUAAUACGUAGGGGGCUAGCGUUAUCCGGAUUUACUGGGCGUAAAGGGUGCGUAGG